This 252-nucleotide ribosomal RNA is filed under the name uncultured microorganism. Its description in RNAcentral is "partial small subunit ribosomal RNA". It matches the Rfam family "Bacterial small subunit ribosomal RNA", at positions 524 to 776 of the family's 1533-position model. The record is from RNAcentral.
UACGUAGGUGGCAAGCGUUGUCCGGAAUUAUUGGGCGUAAAGAGCAUGUAGGUGGGCUUUUAAGUCCGAUGUGAAAAUGCGGGGCUCAACCCCGUAUGGCAUUGGAUACUGGAAGUCUUGAGUGCAGGAGAGGAAAGGGGAAUUCCCAGUGUAGCGGUGAAAUGCGUAGAUAUUGGGAGGAACACCGGUGGCGAAGGCGCCUUUCUGGACUGUGUCUGACACUGAGAUGCGAAAGCUAGGGUAGCAAACGGG